CCCUUAGAUGUUCUGGGCCGCACGCGCGCUACAAUGGUCUUCGCAAACGGAUGCAUUCUCGAAGGAGAAUGCCAAUCUUGGAAUCUAUGCCUUGGUCGGGACAGUUGCUUGCAAUUUUUCGACUCGAACCAGGAAUUCCUUGUAAUCGUGAUUCAUCACAUCACGAUGAGUACGUCCCUGCCCUUUGUACACACCGCCCGUCGCUCCUACCGAUCGAAGAGUUAGGUGAAUUGUUUUGAUCGAUAAGAUUUGACUAUGGUCAACUCUCGUUGUGAAAUUCUGUGAAUCUGACUGUUUAGAGGAAGGAAAAGUCGUAACA
RNAcentral lists this ribosomal RNA (319 nucleotides) under uncultured eukaryote. RNAcentral's name for it is "partial 18S ribosomal RNA". It matches the Rfam family "Eukaryotic small subunit ribosomal RNA", at positions 1470 to 1796 of the family's 1831-position model. The record is from RNAcentral.